Molecule: transfer RNA, 76 nt
Filed under: Gemmatimonadaceae bacterium
Lineage: Bacteria; Pseudomonadati; Gemmatimonadota; Gemmatimonadia; Gemmatimonadales; Gemmatimonadaceae
Description: tRNA-Thr
Rfam family: tRNA
About the family: Transfer RNA (tRNA) molecules are approximately 80 nucleotides in length. Their secondary structure includes four short double-helical elements and three loops (D, anti-codon, and T loops).
Source: RNAcentral
GCCGCUUUAGCUCAAUUGGCAGAGCACCUGAUUUGUAAUCAGGCGGUUCGGGGUUCGAGUCCCCGAGGCGGCUCCA